Sphaerobolus stellatus SS14 is the source of this 71-nucleotide non-coding RNA. The record is from the annotation of a GenBank genome assembly. Lineage: Eukaryota; Fungi; Basidiomycota; Agaricomycetes; Geastrales; Sphaerobolaceae.
GCAUUAAUGGGUUAGUGGUAACCUUAGUCUUUACCAUCUAUUAGUCGCGAGUUCGGUUCUUGCUUAAGGCA